AGGGAGGAUCACUUGAGCCCAGGAAUUUGAGACCAGCCUGGGCAACAAAGUGAGACCUCAC
Molecule: non-coding RNA, 61 nt
Organism: Macaca mulatta (Rhesus monkey)
Lineage: Eukaryota; Metazoa; Chordata; Mammalia; Primates; Cercopithecidae
Source: Rfam